GCAGGUCGUUGCAUCUGAGGGCAAUUCAGCACAUAAUUUAUGGAGCAGAGAAGAGCAUCUCUGCUCUUCAUGGCAAUAGGCUAAACAUUUGACACAUUCAACACAAGCCUUGCACGCACCAUCCUUCAUAUGGCAGUUUCAGCGGCAGAGAAUGAUAGUGCAGUGGAGAAAGAAGAGGCAAUCAAGACAACCAUAGGCCUCACCUAUAUGUUCCAUUCACAAGCUUCACACCUGAUUUUGCAGUCAAGCUGUGUGUGGAAGACCAGUGGAUGCUGUGUGUGGAAGAGCAGUGGAUGCUGAUGGUCGAAAUGAAUGACAGAUUGGUUACAUCAUAUAGUCAGCACUUUACCUUUGAGAGGAGCUAGAAUUGUUGCUUCAGUCAGAGAUUCAAGUUGCCAGGGCCAUGGUGAA
Molecule: long non-coding RNA, 411 nt
Organism: Eucalyptus grandis
Lineage: Eukaryota; Viridiplantae; Streptophyta; Magnoliopsida; Myrtales; Myrtaceae
Exons: 3
Source: RefSeq, a predicted model, not a curated record